UGGGGAAUUUUGGACAAUGGACGCAAGCCUGAUCCAGCCAUGCCGCGUGCGGGAAGAAGGCCUUCGGGUUGUAAACCGCUUUUGUCAGGGAAGAAAUCUUCUGAGUUAAUACCUCGGGAGGAUGACGGUACCUGAAGAAUAAGCACCGGCUAACUACGUGCCAGCAGCCGCGGUAAUACGUAGGGUGCAAGCGUUAAUCGGAAUCACUGGGCGUAAAGCGUGCGCAGGCGGUUUUGUAAGACAGAGGUGAAAUCCCCGGGCUCAACCUGGGAACUGCCUUUGUGACUGCAAGGCUUGAGUGCGGCAGAGGGGGGAUGGAAUUCCGCGUGUAGCAGUGAAAUGCGUAGAUAUGCGGAGGAACACCGAUGGCGAAGGCAAUCCCCUGGGGCCUGCACUGACGCUCAUGCACGAAAGCGUGGGGAGCAAACAGGAUUAGAUACCCUGGUAGUCCACGCCCUAAAACGAUGUCAACUGGUUGUUGGGAAGGUUCCUUCUCAGUAACGUAGCUAACGCGUGAAGUUGACCGCCUGGGGAGUACGGCCGCAAGGUUGAAA
Molecule: ribosomal RNA, 554 nt
Filed under: uncultured bacterium
Lineage: Bacteria
Description: partial 16S ribosomal RNA
Rfam family: Bacterial small subunit ribosomal RNA
Source: RNAcentral